AACGCCCGGGUUUCCGGCAAAUAUUCACCCUUCCGACACCGAACGGGAGGCCGCCCCCCUCCCGGCCGGCACCCCUCUCGCAGGCGGGCCGGGGUCCGUCCCCGCGGCCGGCAGCGCUCCUGGCGGCACCGGCCCCCAACUCUCCAUGCUUACAUAACAGCUCUCAAGAGGAAGCUGCUAACAAGCCCACCUGAUCGUUUGUGCCAGCUGUUGUAGUGGAGGCAUGCUGGAUGCAACUGAGCUCCACCUUCUCUGUUGAGUGUUUCUCCAUGAUGUGCUUGAUAAAAGAAGUGAGAUAUAUGGAAAAAAAAUGGACUUUUUUGUGAAGAAAA
Molecule: non-coding RNA, 332 nt
Organism: Lonchura striata (white-rumped munia)
Lineage: Eukaryota; Metazoa; Chordata; Aves; Passeriformes; Estrildidae
Source: RefSeq, a predicted model, not a curated record